GACGAACGCUGGCGGCGUGCUUAACACAUGCAAGUCGAACGGAAAGGCCCUGCUUUUGUGGGGUGCUCGAGUGGCGAACGGGUGAGUAACACGUGAGUAACCUGCCCUUGACUUUGGGAUAACUUCAGGAAACUGGGGCUAAUACCGGAUAGGAGCUCCUGCUGCAUGGUGGGGGUUGGAAAGUUUCGGCGGUUGGGGAUGGACGCGCGGCUUAUCAGCUUGUUGGUGGGGUAGUGGCUUACCAAGGCUUUGACGGGUAGCCGGCCUGAGAGGGUGACCGGCCCCAUUGGGACUGAGGUACGGCCCAGACUGCAACGGGAGGCAACAGUGGGGAAUAUUGCAAAAUGGGCGGAAGCCUGAUGCAGCAACGCCGCGUGCGAGAUGACGGCCUUCGGGUUGUGAACCGCUUUCGCCUGUGACGAAGCGUGAGUGACGGUAAUGGGUAAAGAAGCACCGGCUAACUACGUG
RNAcentral lists this ribosomal RNA (468 nucleotides) under uncultured bacterium. RNAcentral's name for it is "partial 16S ribosomal RNA". It matches the Rfam family "Bacterial small subunit ribosomal RNA", at positions 28 to 507 of the family's 1533-position model. The record is from RNAcentral.